RNAcentral lists this small RNA (781 nucleotides) under Pan troglodytes (chimpanzee). Its description in RNAcentral is "processed transcript". Lineage: Eukaryota; Metazoa; Chordata; Mammalia; Primates; Hominidae. The record is from RNAcentral.
AGGGGAAACCAAGGAAGAGAACAGAAAGGUAGGGCACAGGGAGCUGAGCCCAGCUGCACUCAUCCCCGCCCCCGGAAACCCCCGCAGCUCCCGCCCCAACCAGCCCCUCUGGCGCCUGGCAUAAGGUAGCCCCCGGAGGCAAUGAGGGCCAGCAGGAGUCUCGCGCGCCUGCGACGCGGGUAAGCACCAGCCACAAAAACCUACAAAAGAAGGGAAAUUACUGUCUUUAAAUAUUAAAAAAAAACAAGAUCCAUGAGUGGGCAUCGAUCAACAAGGAAAAGAUGUGGAGAUUCUCACCCGGAGUCCCCAGUGGGCUUCGGGCAUAUGAGUACUACAGGAUGUGUAUUAAAUAAAUUGUUUCAGUUACCAACACCACCAUUGUCAAGACACCAACUAAAGCGGCUAGAAGAACACAGAUAUCAAAGUGCUGGACGGUCCCUGCUUGAGCCCUUAAUGCAAGGGUAUUGGGAAUGGCUCGUUAGAAGAGUUCCCUCCUGGAUUGCCCCAAAUCUCAUCACCAUCAUUGGACUGUCAAUAAACAUCUGUACAACUAUUUUAUUAGUCUUCUACUGCCCUACAGCUACAGAGCAGGCACCUCUGUGGGCAUAUAUUGCUUGUGCCUGUGGCCUUUUCAUUUACCAGUCUUUGGAUGCUAUUGAUGGGAAACAGGCAAGAAGAACCAAUAGUAGUUCUCCUCUGGGAGAACUUUUUGAUCAUGGUUGUGAUUCACUAUCAACAGUUUUUGUGGUUCUUGGAACUUGUAUUGCAGUGCAGCUGGGGA